Oxyura jamaicensis (ruddy duck) is the source of this 1253-nucleotide long non-coding RNA. RefSeq lists it as uncharacterized. NCBI's taxonomy places the organism in Eukaryota, Metazoa, Chordata, Aves, Anseriformes, Anatidae. The record is from RefSeq and is a predicted model, not a curated record. The transcript has 3 exons.
GAGAAGUUGCAAAGCCACUGUGGAAACCACUUGAUUGAUGGCUGUGGUUUUACAGCCAUGGGAGCGAGAUGUGUGAGGUGGUACUGCUGAAAGUGCAGGUCUGUACACCAGAGGUGACCAGAGGUCUUGUGGAAGGAGAUGCUUGUACUCUGCUGGCCUGUCUCUCUUAGCUAACCCCUGUAAAACCUCUGAAGUUUAUUCUGCCCACAUACACUACUGAGAACAGAGAAGCCUCUCCUCUGGAGUUUUUAGCAUUCAGCUGGUAAGCUUUUCCCUAUGGCUAAUGGAGCUCAGAUCAGACAGACAACACUUCAGGUGAGAAGCUGGAGCUCUGCCUCUCCCCCAGAAAGUGCAGCACAGCUCUGUGCUGCCGCUGCUCCUUUAGCACCUUUGUGAGUGCUGACUCCAGGCACACACAUGCAAUUUCUUGGAGAUUCUAGUGUGAGUGAAAUGACUCUACAGACAAUUUAAUACCUUCUUGCACAGGAAAGAUAUAUUCUUUUUGCCUUGACUGAAAGAGAGGCAUAAAAUCCCAGGAAAGGAAAUAAAGUGAUUCUGGAUCAAUAGAGAGAAAUGUACAGUAAAUGCUUUAGUAUGUUGUGCAAUAACAAGAGCCCUCGUGCAUUAUAAAUACAGACACUUAGCUUAUCAUGUCCAUGCUGUCAGUCCUUCAGUACCCACAAGGCACUUGAAAAGCACGCAGCUGAGCAGGUCUGAAGCCACCAAAGCUGCCUUAGUGUGGUUUUCUGCUACUUGAAGAGACAACUUGGACUGAGAAUAAUGCUGAGAAGAGCCACCAUCAGCACCCUAGACCUGGACAUACUAGCGGAUGCAAGGCAGAGAAAUCUGUGCUGAAACUGCAUGGAUCUGGCUAAUGUUUUAAACCACCAGCAGCCAUUUCCAUGUCUCUGGGUAACACACAGAUCCCUAUUACACUGCUGGUUACACACAGGUUUCCUGGAUCUAGGGAGCAAUUAACAAGUAAGUGGCUGUGAAGUGAAGGGCAUUUCUGUGUUAGGGAUCUGCAGAAAUCUCUGCAGAGCUGAGGGUUGAGAUAUCUUCAGAGUUAUGAUCCUAACCACAUUAGCUGUGCCCUUGGGACUUGCAGGUCUUCCUUGCUAUACAGAUAGCAAAGUCCCAUAGUCUGGUGAAAUUUGGCUGAUGGAAAUCCAUGCUGUCAGACUUGAUUAGAAGAUGGCCAGGGACAAGCAUAGGGAGAAAAAUCUAUGCUGAUUGCAAACACCUCAUUUCCU